CACGUAGGGGGCGAGCGUUGUCCGGAUUUAUUGGGCGUAAAGAGCGCGUAGGCGGCUCGGAAAGUCGGUCGUGAAAUGCCGGGGCUCAACCCCGGGACUGCGUCCGAUACUCCCGAGCUGGAGGCAGGUAGGGGAGAUCGGAAUUCCUGGUGUAGCGGUGAAAUGCGCAGAUAUCAGGAGGAACACCGGUGGCGAAGGCGGAUCUCUGGGCCUUGCCUGACGCUGAGGCGCGAAAGCCAGGGGAGCGAACGGG
This 253-nucleotide ribosomal RNA is filed under the name uncultured bacterium. RNAcentral describes it as "partial 16S ribosomal RNA". It matches the Rfam family "Bacterial small subunit ribosomal RNA", at positions 524 to 776 of the family's 1533-position model. The record is from RNAcentral.